This 253-nucleotide ribosomal RNA is filed under the name uncultured bacterium. RNAcentral describes it as "partial 16S ribosomal RNA". It matches the Rfam family "Bacterial small subunit ribosomal RNA", at positions 524 to 776 of the family's 1533-position model. The record is from RNAcentral.
UACGGGGGGUGCAAGCGUUAUCCGGAUUCACUGGGUUUAAAGGGUGCGUAGGCGGCUUGAUAAGUCAGUGGUGAAAGCCCGCAGCUCAACUGCGGAAUUGCCAUUGAAACUGCCAAGCUUGAAUCUGGUUGAAGUGGGCGGAAUAUAUCAUGUAGCGGUGAAAUGCUUAGAUAUGAUGUAGAACACCGAUUGCGAAGGCAGCUCACUAAGCCAACAUUGACGCUGAGGAGCGAAAGCGUGGGGAGCGAACAGG